Molecule: long non-coding RNA, 90 nt
Organism: Corvus hawaiiensis (hawaiian crow)
Lineage: Eukaryota; Metazoa; Chordata; Aves; Passeriformes; Corvidae
Exons: 3
Source: RefSeq, a predicted model, not a curated record
CAACUGUACGAGGUUCAAUAAGAUCAAGUGUUGGGCCCUGCACUUGGGUCACAAGAACCCCAUGCAGAGCUACAGAAUGACACGUGGCUG